Molecule: ribosomal RNA, 903 nt
Filed under: Staphylococcus aureus
Lineage: Bacteria; Bacillati; Bacillota; Bacilli; Caryophanales; Staphylococcaceae
Description: partial 23S ribosomal RNA
Rfam family: Bacterial large subunit ribosomal RNA
Source: RNAcentral
CUGUAAGUAAGCUUUGAUCCAGAGAUUUCCGAAUGGGGAAACCCAGCAUGAGUUAUGUCAUGUUAUCGAUAUGUGAAUACAUAGCAUAUCAGAAGGCACACCCGGAGAACUGAAACAUCUUAGUACCCGGAGGAAGAGAAAGAAAAUUCGAUUCCCUUAGUAGCGGCGAGCGAAACGGGAAGAGCCCAAACCAACAAGCUUGCUUGUUGGGGUUGUAGGACACUCUAUACGGAGUUACAAAGGACGACAUUAGACGAAUCAUCUGGAAAGAUGAAUCAAAGAAGGUAAUAAUCCUGUAGUCGAAAAUGUUGUCUCUCUUGAGUGGAUCCUGAGUACGACGGAGCACGUGAAAUUCCGUCGGAAUCUGGGAGGACCAUCUCCUAAGGCUAAAUACUCUCUAGUGACCGAUAGUGAACCAGUACCGUGAGGGAAAGGUGAAAAGCACCCCGGAAGGGGAGUGAAAUAGAACCUGAAACCGUGUGCUUACAAGUAGUCAGAGCCCGUUAAUGGGUGAUGGCGUGCCUUUUGUAGAAUGAACCGGCGAGUUACGAUUUGAUGCAAGGUUAAGCAGUAAAUGUGGAGCCGUAGCGAAAGCGAGUCUGAAUAGGGCGUUUAGUAUUUGGUCGUAGACCCGAAACCAGGUGAUCUACCCUUGGUCAGGUUGAAGUUCAGGUAACACUGAAUGGAGGACCGAACCGACUUACGUUGAAAAGUGAGCGGAUGAACUGAGGGUAGCGGAGAAAUUCCAAUCGAACCUGGAGAUAGCUGGUUCUCUCCGAAAUAGCUUUAGGGCUAGCCUCAAGUGAUGAUUAUUGGAGGUAGAGCACUGUUUGGACGAGGGGCCCCUCUCGGGUUACCGAAUUCAGACAAACUCCGAAUGCCAAUUAAUUUAACUUGGGAGUC